Molecule: ribosomal RNA, 472 nt
Filed under: uncultured bacterium
Lineage: Bacteria
Description: bacterial SSU rRNA
Rfam family: Bacterial small subunit ribosomal RNA
Source: RNAcentral
AUGCAGUCGACGGUAACAGGCCCUUCGGGGUGCUGACGAGUGGCGGACGGGUGAGUAACGCGUAGGAAUUUGCCCAGUAGUGGGGGACAACUUGGGGAAACCCAAGCUAAUACCGCAUACGCCCUACGGGGGAAAGCGGGCAUCUUCGGACCUCGCGCUAUUGGAUGAGCCUGCGUCGGAUUAGCUAGUUGGUAGGGUAAAGGCCUACCAAGGCGACGAUCCGUAGCUGGUUUGAGAGAACGAUCAGCCACACUGGGACUGAGACACGGCCCAGACUCCUACGGGAGGCAGCUGGGGAAUAUUGCACAAUGGGGGCAACCCUGAUGCAGCAAUGCCGCGUGUGUGAAGAAGGCCUGCGGGUUGUAAAGCACUUUCAAUUGGGAAGAAAAGGUUAGGGUCAAUACCCCUGAUUCUUGACGUUACCUUUAGAAGAAGCACCGGCUAACUCCGUGCCAGCAGCCGCGGUAAUACG